AAUCGAACCCGGAGAUAGCUGGUUCUCCCCGAAAUAGCUUUAGGGCUAGCGUCGAGGUAAGUUGCGUGAAGGUAGAGCACUGAAUAUGUGAUGGCCCCAUCUCGGGGUACUGAGCAUAAUCAAACUGCGAAUGUCACGCCAACAUGCUCGGCAGUCAGACAGCGGGUGAUAAGGUCCGUUGUCAAGAGGGAAACAGCCCAGACCAUCAGCUAAGGUCCCAAAAUGUAUGCUAAGUGGAAAAGGAUGUGGAGAUGUACAGACAACUAGGAGGUUGGCUCAGAAGCAGCCAUCCUUUAAAGAGUGCGUAACAGCUCACUAGUCGAAUGACUCUGCGCCGAUAAUUUACCGGGGCUAAGCAUACUACCGAAGCUAUGGAUCCCAAGGGAUGGUAGGGGAGCGUUCCAUGAACGGAGAAGUACGACCGAAAGGACGUGUGGAGAUCAUGGAAGAGAGAAUGCCGGUGUGAGUAGCGGAACGUGGGUGAGAAUCCCACGCACCGAAAACCCAAGGUUUCCAGAGGAAGGUUCGUCCGCUCUGGGUAAGUCGGGACCUAAGGCGAGGCCGAAAGGCGUAGUCGAUGGACAACAGGUAGAGAUUCCUGUACCCGUAUAUAUGUGAAGGAAUGACGGAGAGAGGAAGCUGCAGCCAGCGGCUGGAAGAGCUGGUGCAAGCGAGAUAUCGGGAUGGCAGGCAAAUCCACCAUCCGAAACGAGAAGGCGUGAAGCGUACGGAAAGCUACGGCGAGUACGGAAGGCAGUGGAGGAACUUCCAAGAAAAGUUUCUAACGUUAAGUAUAUAUGGCCCGUACCGAAAAUGGACACACAUGGGUGAGGAGAGAAUCCUAAGGUGAGCGAGAGAACUAUAGCUAAGGAACUCUGCAAAAUGACUCCGUAACUUAGGGAGAAGGAGUGCUCAUAGAGAUAUGAGCCGCAGUGAAACGGCCCAAGCGACUGUUUACCAAAAACACAGCUCUCUGCUAAGCCGCAAGGCGAAGUAUAGGGGGUGACGCCUGCCCGGUGCUGGAAGGUUAAGGGGAGGGGUUAACGCAAGUGAAGCCCUGAACUGAAGCCCCAGUAAACGGCGGCCGUAACUAUAACGGUCCUAAGGUAGCGAAAUUCCUUGUCAGGUAAGUUCUGACCCGCACGAAAGGCGUAACGAUUUGGGCGCUGUCUCAGCUGUAGACUCGGUGAAGUCUUAGUACCUGUGAAGAUGCAGGUUACCCGCGACUAGACGGAAAGACCCCAUGGAGCUUCACUGCAGGUUGAUAUUGGGAUUUGAUGCAGCAUGUACAGGAUAGGUAGGAGGCAAAGAGAUGGAUACGCCAGUAUUCAAGGAGCCGCUGUUGGGAUACUACCCCUGUUGUAUUGGAUUUCUAACCGGACGACGUAGAACCGUUGACGGGACAGUGUCAGUCGGGCAGUUUGACUGGGGCGGUCGCCUCCCAAAGAGUAACGGAGGCGCCCAAAGAUACCCUCAGCUUGGAUGGAAACCAAGCGCAGAGUGCAAAGGCAAAAGGGUGUUUGACUGCGAGACCCACAAGUCGAGCAGGGACGAAAGUCGGGCUUAGUGAUCCGGCGGUGCUGAAUGGAAAGGCCGUCGCUCAACGGAUAAAAGCUACCCUGGGGAUAACAGGCUGAUCUCCCCCAAGAGUUCACAUCGACGGGGAGGUUUGGCACCUCGAUGUCGGCUCAUCGCAUCCUGGAGCGGAAGUACGUUCCAAGGGUUGGGCUGUUCGCCCAUUAAAGCGGUACGCGAGCUGGGUUCAGAACGUCGUGAGACAGUUCGGUCCCUAUCUGUCGUGGGCGCAGGAAAUUUGAGAAGAGCUGUCCUCAGUACGAGAGGACCGGGAUGGACGCAUCAAUGGUGGACCAGUUGUCACGCCAGUGGCAUAGCUGGGUAGCUAAAUGCGGAAGGGAUAAACGCUGAAGGCAUCUAAGUGUGAAACCCACUUCAAGAUGAGAUUUCCCAUUGC
This 1972-nucleotide ribosomal RNA is filed under the name human gut metagenome. RNAcentral describes it as "bacterial LSU rRNA". It matches the Rfam family "Bacterial large subunit ribosomal RNA", at positions 831 to 2820 of the family's 2925-position model. The record is from RNAcentral.